Transfer RNA from Felis catus (domestic cat), 85 nucleotides. It matches the Rfam family "tRNA". From Rfam's summary of the family: Transfer RNA (tRNA) molecules are approximately 80 nucleotides in length. Their secondary structure includes four short double-helical elements and three loops (D, anti-codon, and T loops). Further hydrogen bonds mediate the characteristic L-shaped molecular structure. tRNAs have two regions of fundamental functional importance: the anti-codon, which is responsible for specific mRNA codon recognition, and the 3' end, to which the tRNAs corresponding amino acid is attached (by aminoacyl-tRNA synthetases). tRNAs cope with the degeneracy of the genetic code in two manners: having more than one tRNA (with a specific anti-codon) for a particular amino acid; and 'wobble' base-pairing, i.e. permitting non-standard base-pairing at the 3rd anti-codon position. The record is from Rfam. NCBI's taxonomy places the organism in Eukaryota, Metazoa, Chordata, Mammalia, Carnivora, Felidae.
GCCUGGGUGACUCAGUCAGUCAAGCGUCUGACUUCAACUCAGAUCAUGAUUUCACACUUCGUGGGUUCGAGUCCCGCGUCGGGCU